Pelodiscus sinensis (Chinese soft-shelled turtle) is the source of this 58-nucleotide transfer RNA. It matches the Rfam family "tRNA", at positions 8 to 63 of the family's 71-position model. From Rfam's summary of the family: Transfer RNA (tRNA) molecules are approximately 80 nucleotides in length. Their secondary structure includes four short double-helical elements and three loops (D, anti-codon, and T loops). NCBI's taxonomy places the organism in Eukaryota, Metazoa, Chordata, Testudines, Trionychidae. The record is from Rfam.
UAGCUCAGUGGUUUGAGCAUUGGCCUGCUAAACCAAGGGUUGUGAGUUCAAUCCUUAC